Molecule: non-coding RNA, 30 nt
Filed under: Mus musculus (house mouse)
Lineage: Eukaryota; Metazoa; Chordata; Mammalia; Rodentia; Muridae
Source: RNAcentral
UAACUAGCAUGGUUUCCUCACUUGGGCCCA